RNAcentral lists this ribosomal RNA (253 nucleotides) under uncultured bacterium. RNAcentral's name for it is "partial 16S ribosomal RNA". It matches the Rfam family "Bacterial small subunit ribosomal RNA", at positions 524 to 776 of the family's 1533-position model. The record is from RNAcentral.
UACGUAGGGUGCGAGCGUUGUCCGGAAUUACUGGGCGUAAAGAGCUCGUAGGUGGUUUGUCGCGUUGUUCGUGAAAACUCACAACUCAAUUGUGGGCGUGCGGGCGAUACGGGCAGACUGGAGUACUGCAGGGGAGACUGGAACUCCUGGUGUAGCGGUGGAAUGCGCAGAUAUCAGGAGGAACACCGGUGGCGAAGGCGGGUCUCUGGGCAGUAACUGACGCUGAGGAGCGAAAGCGUGGGGAGCGAACAGG